Long non-coding RNA from Micropterus salmoides (largemouth bass), 472 nucleotides. RefSeq lists it as uncharacterized. The record is from RefSeq and is a predicted model, not a curated record. The transcript is spliced from 2 exons. Lineage: Eukaryota; Metazoa; Chordata; Actinopteri; Centrarchiformes; Centrarchidae.
CACACAGUCAGAUGGCUUCCUACAGUGAACUGAGGUGUUUAACAACUGUAUUUGAAGACAAUACUACCAGCCAUGUCUUCCUUCUUAUUGUGGACGCUUUGACCAACAGAGUUUUCAUUCAGUGACAUACAUGUACACAGAACUGCAGGAAAGUGAGCCGUUGCUUUUGAGAACCACACGGUCAGCUAGCAGCAGCUGAAUCUGGAGUGCACUCAUAUUCAAACCUUUACGGUAAAUGCUCCACACAGAGGAGCUUGUUGCUCUUCUACUAUCAGCUGCUGUUUCAACAAACUUUCCAUUCAGGGUGAAAAUUCAAAUGUUGUGUCAGGAGAUGCAGUGACUGCACCAGUGAAGACAGAGGAGGCAGCAUGUGGAGGACAUAACCAUAUUUGUCAGGAGACAAGAAGAAGAAGAGCAACAAAGAAGAUAACCCAAAAACAAUAGAAUAAAUUCCUUUUAUAUGCCCUUCUUA